AUGCUAAAAGCUGGCACUAUCACCCCCAGCCUCAGCUCUUUUGCUUCUCCUGUCUUGUUGGUUAAAAAGAAAGAUGGCACUUGGCGGUUUUGUGUUGACUACAGGAAGCUAAAUUCAAUCACCAUCAAGAGCAAAUUUCCCAUGCCAGUAGUGGAUGAGCUUUUAGAUGAACUUAGUGGCAGUAAAUGGUUUUCCAAAAUAGAUCUCAGGUCAGGAUAUCAUCAGAUCAGAAUGUUACCAGAGGAUGAACACAAGACAACUUUCAAAACUCACAGUGGACACUAUCAAUUUAGGGUGAUGCCCUUUGGACUUACCAAUGCCCCCUCUACCUUUCAAUGCAUCAUGAACUGGAUUUUUGCUGCUUAUGAUAGGAAGUUUGUGAUUGUAUUUAGGGAUGACAUUUUGAUCUUUAGUGAGACCCUUGAGGAACAUCUGGAACAUCUUAGAAUUGUAUUCUAG
This 459-nucleotide ribosomal RNA is filed under the name Triticum aestivum (bread wheat). Its description in RNAcentral is "partial small subunit ribosomal RNA". Lineage: Eukaryota; Viridiplantae; Streptophyta; Magnoliopsida; Poales; Poaceae. The record is from RNAcentral.